This 64-nucleotide transfer RNA is filed under the name Rhabdoblatta incisa. Its description in RNAcentral is "tRNA-Pro". Lineage: Eukaryota; Metazoa; Arthropoda; Insecta; Blattodea; Blaberidae. The record is from RNAcentral.
CAGAGGGUAGUUUAAAUAAAAUUUUAACUUUGGGAGUUAAUGAUAAAGUUAUCUUUUCCUCUGA